Molecule: ribosomal RNA, 412 nt
Filed under: Melanochlamys sp. 1 PJK-2008
Lineage: Eukaryota; Metazoa; Mollusca; Gastropoda; Cephalaspidea; Aglajidae
Description: partial 16S ribosomal RNA
Rfam family: Archaeal large subunit ribosomal RNA
Source: RNAcentral
AAAAACAUAGCCUUAGGUAAUGAUAUAAGGUGUUUCCUGCUCAAUGAGCAUUAAAUAGCCGCGGUACCUUGACCGUGCUAAGGUAGCAUAAUCAGUUGACUUUUAAAUGAAGUCUGGAAUGAAUGGAUCAACGGAGUUUAGCUGUCUCGGAAUAUCUAUUAUGAACUUACUAACUAGGUGAAAAGGCCUAGAAAUGAAAAAGGACGAGAAGACCCUUAGAGUUUAAAUUUUGUUGGGGCGACAAGGAAUCAAUUAAACAUUCCUAAUUUUAUAAGACGGUUAUAACAUGUAUAGAAAAACUACCUGAGGGAUAACAGCAUUAUCUUUUUAGGUUUGUGACCUCGAUGUUGGACUAGGAAGCCUAUAAGCUAGCCGCUUAUAUGGGGGAUUCUGUUCGAAUUUUUACUCCUAC